CGGGGCGUAGCUCAGCCUGGUAGAGCGCCGCGUUUGGGACGCGGAUGUCGUCAGUUCGAAUCUGGCCGCCCCGCCCA
Molecule: transfer RNA, 77 nt
Filed under: Akkermansiaceae bacterium
Lineage: Bacteria; Pseudomonadati; Verrucomicrobiota; Verrucomicrobiia; Verrucomicrobiales; Akkermansiaceae
Description: tRNA-Pro
Rfam family: tRNA
About the family: Transfer RNA (tRNA) molecules are approximately 80 nucleotides in length.
Source: RNAcentral